GGGGGCUUAGUUCAGCGGGAGAAUAGUUCGUUCGCAACGAACAGACACGGGUUCGAUUCCCGUAGCCUCCACCA
RNAcentral lists this transfer RNA (74 nucleotides) under Candidatus Dormiibacterota bacterium. RNAcentral's name for it is "tRNA-Ala". It matches the Rfam family "tRNA". Rfam says of the family: Transfer RNA (tRNA) molecules are approximately 80 nucleotides in length. Their secondary structure includes four short double-helical elements and three loops (D, anti-codon, and T loops). Further hydrogen bonds mediate the characteristic L-shaped molecular structure. tRNAs have two regions of fundamental functional importance: the anti-codon, which is responsible for specific mRNA codon recognition, and the 3' end, to which the tRNAs corresponding amino acid is attached (by aminoacyl-tRNA synthetases). tRNAs cope with the degeneracy of the genetic code in two manners: having more than one tRNA (with a specific anti-codon) for a particular amino acid; and 'wobble' base-pairing, i.e. permitting non-standard base-pairing at the 3rd anti-codon position. RNAcentral also lists the same sequence under 4 other names. The record is from RNAcentral. Lineage: Bacteria; Bacillati; Candidatus Dormiibacterota.